This 90-nucleotide non-coding RNA is filed under the name Vreelandella aquamarina. Lineage: Bacteria; Pseudomonadati; Pseudomonadota; Gammaproteobacteria; Oceanospirillales; Halomonadaceae. The record is from RNAcentral.
CGUUAUGGCGGGCCGUGCGUGGGACACCUUCGGGUGUGCCGGGUUCCUGUAUCUCCGGUCUUCCUACCCCGCGUACGGUUCGCCACCCAA